Papaver somniferum (opium poppy) is the source of this 1283-nucleotide long non-coding RNA. RefSeq lists it as uncharacterized. Lineage: Eukaryota; Viridiplantae; Streptophyta; Magnoliopsida; Ranunculales; Papaveraceae. The transcript has 3 exons. The record is from RefSeq and is a predicted model, not a curated record.
AUCGCUUGACGAAGGUAAAACAAGCAUCGUUACCGUCCGUGUUACCCGGAAAUGGGAAGAGUUGGACUUCAUGUCGACCAACGACGUUACCAGCAUUGAUAUGGUUAUUGUUGACGAGCAGGGUGAAGAGUUACACGCCGUCAUACCCAAAAAUCUUAUUUGGAAGUUUGAUAAGCUGAUUCGGGAGGGGGGUCUGUACUCUAUGCAGAAACUACACUUGCCCACUGCUAAACCGAAGUUCCGUCCUGCGCACAAUGAGAAGCGGGCCUUCUUCCGGAGCACCACCUCCAUCACUGCUAAACCGUUCAUAAAAUGCUCAUUGCAACGGGGGUAAUAUCGGCUCCCCCUCUCGAACAAGUUCCAGACCAAAUCAUUUGAUAUGGCGUCCCAAGUGACAUGCAGGCCACAUCGAGGUAGGUUCCUUGGCAAAACAGGACAGCUUCAAGAGCUUAUAGGCCCUUGGCGAAGGUAAACCGUGCGUCGUUACAGUUCCAGUGUCUAGGAAAUGGUAGAGUUGGACUAUAUGUCUAUUAUAACCAGUGUAAUUAUUGUUAUUGUUGACAAACAGGUGUGAUCAUUUCCACUCUGGGAUCCAUUUGAUAUUCGAUUCUCCUCUGUUACUUUAAUUUUUAACACAUUCUUUGAUACAGAGAGAAGAUUUACAAGACAUUAUCUAAAGGAAUCUUAUCUGAAAAUUUGAUAAUCAGGUCCACGAGAGGAGUAUGUACUCUAUGGAGAAGUUAUAGUUGUUCACUGCCGAACCCAAAUACAUCACUUUAUUUUCACAAGUUCCAUUCGCUCCGGUCACUUUUCGGUAGAUCUUAAGUUCUCAACACUAUAACUUCCAAUUUAAGCUCCGGUCUGUGUUAUAAUUAAUCUCUUUAGAUUGGAAGUGUGAGUGUUAUGUGCCUUUACUAUGAAUCCUUUUGGAAGUUUCCUAUCUUUGGUUAGGACUGAUUCAGUUUUCAUAUAAUAUUAGUGAUAUGUCUAGAUUUGAUUGUUGCAUGGCAGAUAGCUGACCCAAUGAUAGCUAAAUUUCAAGUCUAUUUUACUAGACGAGGCGAGCUUGCUUAGUAUCAAGUAAUUAACUUAUUUUUUCUAAUGUCAUGAUAAGUUUUUUGUCUAAUUUUUUCUUUGAUAAAUCUGCAGCAAAAAUCGCAUAUGUUUUCAUGUUUAACUGCAAAGUUGGGGGAAUCCUAUGCUGCAGACCUGCAGUCUACAUGACCAACCAAGGUGACAACAAUGUGGCACAUCAUGUAGCCAUAUCAACUUCACCUCAUCUA